Molecule: ribosomal RNA, 472 nt
Filed under: uncultured bacterium
Lineage: Bacteria
Description: bacterial SSU rRNA
Rfam family: Bacterial small subunit ribosomal RNA
Source: RNAcentral
UGGGGAAUAUUGGACAAUGGGGGCAACCCUGAUCCAGCAAUGCCGCGUGUGUGAAGAAGGCCUGCGGGUUGUAAAGCACUUUUAGUGAUGAGGAAGGGAUUACGUCGAAUAGGCAUAAUUUUUGACGUUAGUCGCAGAAAAAGCACCGGCUAACUCUGUGCCAGCAGCCGCGGUAAUACAGAGGGUGCGAGCGUUAAUCGGAAUGACUGGGCGUAAAGGGUGCGUAGGUGGCUGAUUAAGUUAGUUGUGAAAUCCCCGGGCUUAACCUGGGAACUGCAAUUAAUACUGGUUAGCUAGAGUUUAGGAGAGGAUAGUGGAAUUUCCGGUGUAGCGGUGAAAUGCGUAGAUAUCGGAAGGAACACCAGUGGCGAAGGCGACUAUCUGGCCUAGAACUGACACUGAGGCACGAAAGCGUGGGUAGCGAACAGGAUUAGAUACCCAAGUAGUCCCUGAGCGGGCUGGCAAGGCGCAU